CUAAUGGCUCUAUUUGGAGCCACUUCUUUUGUUUACUAGAUGGUUU
Molecule: non-coding RNA, 46 nt
Organism: Stegodyphus mimosarum
Lineage: Eukaryota; Metazoa; Arthropoda; Arachnida; Araneae; Eresidae
Source: Rfam